This 271-nucleotide long non-coding RNA is filed under the name Setaria viridis. RNAcentral's name for it is "long non-coding RNA (SVIR_LNC007911)". Lineage: Eukaryota; Viridiplantae; Streptophyta; Magnoliopsida; Poales; Poaceae. The record is from RNAcentral.
GUGAUGACAUGGCUGAGUUACUACUAAAUUCUCAGUGUCAUUUGUUGCUGUUUGAAUAUGGAAAUAAAGUUUGGAAGAUGAACCAGUUUAAAUGGAUAAAAGAAAACAUUAAGUAAUAGUAAGGUUAAAAUAGAAACUUGGAAGAGGUAAAAAAAAUUAUUCAGAAACAGGAUAACUUUCCAAAUGAACCUUGAGGAACCCUAGAGUAACCUCACCUUUCUUGUGAAGUCUAAGUUGUAAAACGUUAUAUGUGUACACAAUCACGAUCAAA